RNAcentral lists this ribosomal RNA (310 nucleotides) under uncultured bacterium. RNAcentral describes it as "partial 16S ribosomal RNA". It matches the Rfam family "Bacterial small subunit ribosomal RNA", at positions 503 to 807 of the family's 1533-position model. The record is from RNAcentral.
AAGAGACAGCAGUCGCCGCGGUAAUACGAAGGGUGCAAGCGUUAAUCGGAAUUACUGGGCGUAAAGCGUGCGUAGGCGGUGAGUUAAGUCUGCUGUGAAAUCCCCGGGCUCAACCUGGGAAUGGCAGUGGAUACUGGCUCGCUAGAGUGUGUCAGAGGAUGGUGGAAUUCCCGGUGUAGCGGUGAAAUGCGUAGAGAUCGGGAGGAACAUCAGUGGCGAAGGCGGCCAUCUGGGACAACACUGACGCUGAGGCACGAAAGCGUGGGGAGCAAACAGGAUUAGAUACCCCAGUAGUCCCUGUCUCUUAUAC